CCUACGGGAGGCAGCAGUGGGGAAUAUUGCACAAUGGGGGAAACCCUGAUGCAGCGACGCCGCGUGAGUGAAGAAGUAAUUCGUUAUGUAACGCUCUAUCAGCCGGGAAGAGAAUGACGGUAUCUGUGUAGGAAGCCCCGGCUAACUACGUGCCAGCAGCCGCGGUAAUACGUAGGGGGCAAGAGUUAUCCGGAUGUACUGUGUGUAAAGAGAGCGUAGACGGGAGUGCACGUCUGGUGUGAAAGGUGGGGGCUCAACCCCCGGACUGCUCUGGAAACUGUACGGCUGGAGUGCAGGAGAGGUAAGUGGAAUUCCUAGUGUAGCGGUGAAAUGCGUAGAUAUUAGGAGGAACACCAGUGGCGAAGGCGGCUUACUGGACUGUAACUGACGUUGAGGCGCGAAAGCGUGGGGAGCAAACAGGAUUAGAUACCCUGGUAGUC
RNAcentral lists this ribosomal RNA (440 nucleotides) under uncultured bacterium. Its description in RNAcentral is "partial 16S ribosomal RNA". It matches the Rfam family "Bacterial small subunit ribosomal RNA", at positions 338 to 795 of the family's 1533-position model. The record is from RNAcentral.